CCUACGGGCGGCAGCAGUGAGGAAUAUUGGUCAAUGGACGAGAGUCUGAACCAGCCAAGUCGCGUGAAGGAUGACUGCCCUAUGGGUUGUAAACUUCUUUUAUAAAGGAAUAAAAUGAGGCACGUGUGCCUUUUUGCAUGUACUUUAUGAAUAAGGAUCGGCUAACUCCGUGCCAGCAGCCGCGGUAAUACGGAGGGUCCGAGCGUUAUCCGGAUUUAUUGGGUUUAAAGGGAGCGUAGAUGGGUUGUUAAGUUAGUUGUGAAAGUCUGCGGCUCAACCGUAAAAUUGCACUUAAUACUGGCAGUCUUGAGUGAAGUAGAGGUAGGCGGAAUUCGUGGUGUAGCGGUGAAAUGCUUAGAUAUCACGAAGAACCCCGAUUGCGAAGGCAGCUUACUAAACUGUGACUGACGUUGAUGCUCGAAAGUGUGGGUAUCAAACAGGAUUAGAUACCCGGGUAGUC
This 460-nucleotide ribosomal RNA is filed under the name uncultured bacterium. Its description in RNAcentral is "partial 16S ribosomal RNA". It matches the Rfam family "Bacterial small subunit ribosomal RNA", at positions 338 to 795 of the family's 1533-position model. The record is from RNAcentral.